GAAACGCACCUUGCGCCCCUUGGCAUUCCGAGGGGCACACCCGUUUGAGUGUCGUGAAACCCUCAAAAACCCUCUUCUUUGAGGAUUUUUGGACUUGGAGGUUCAAUGCUCGCUUUUGCAUUCGAAAGCGAGCUCCUCUCAAAAGAAUCAGUGGGGUCUGCUUUGCUUGUCCUUGACGUGAUAAGAUGUAUCUACGUUUUGGAUUUGACAUGGUCCCUGCUCCUAAUCGUCUCACGGACAAUGAUGGUGCUUCGGUCGCCGCCGCCUACCUUGGCGGGGGGGAGGCUGAGCCCACAAAAAUCUUGACCUCAAAUCGGGUGAGACUACCCGCUGAACUUAA
Molecule: unclassified non-coding RNA, 340 nt
Filed under: uncultured Russula
Lineage: Eukaryota; Fungi; Basidiomycota; Agaricomycetes; Russulales; Russulaceae
Description: partial contains 5.8S ribosomal RNA, internal transcribed spacer 2, and large subunit ribosomal RNA
Source: RNAcentral